Molecule: ribosomal RNA, 301 nt
Filed under: uncultured bacterium
Lineage: Bacteria
Description: partial 16S ribosomal RNA
Rfam family: Bacterial small subunit ribosomal RNA
Source: RNAcentral
CAGCAGCCGCGGGAACACGGAGGGUGCAAGCGUUAAUCGGAAUUACUGGGCGUAAAGCGUGCGUAGGCGGUUCGUUAAGUCUGUUGUGAAAGCCCCGGGCUCAACCUGGGAAUGGCAAUGGAUACUGGCGAGCUAGAGUGUGUCAGAGGAUGGUGGAAUUCCCGGUGUAGCGGUGAAAUGCGUAGAGAUCGGGAGGAACAUCAGUGGCGAAGGCGGCCAUCUGGGACAACACUGACGCUGAGGCACGAAAGCGUGGGGAGCAAACAGGAUUAGAUACCCCCGUAGUCCCUGUCUCUUAUAC